This 2430-nucleotide non-coding RNA is filed under the name Hoplobatrachus rugulosus (rugose frog). Its description in RNAcentral is "partial contains tRNA-Phe, 12S ribosomal RNA, tRNA-Val, and 16S ribosomal RNA". The stretch from base 446 to 2430 matches the Rfam family "Bacterial large subunit ribosomal RNA", at positions 15 to 2589 of the family's 2925-position model. Lineage: Eukaryota; Metazoa; Chordata; Amphibia; Anura; Dicroglossidae. The record is from RNAcentral.
CCUAAAAAGUUCUGAGGGCACAAAGGUUUGGUCCUAGCCUUAUUAUCAAUUAUCUUUUAACUUACACAUGCAAGUCUCAGCACACCCGUGAGGACGCCCUUUACCCCUACCCCAGGCUUAGGAGCUGGUAUCAGGCGCAACUUUUACGCCCAUAACACCUAGUCCCACCACACCCCCAAGGGUACUCAGCAGUGAUAAACAUUGUCUAUAAGCGCCAGCUUGACCCAGUUAUAAAGAAGAGGGCCGGCCAACUUGGUGCCAGCCGCCGCGGCUAGACCAACUGGACUCAAAUUGAUAAUUCCCGGCGUUAAGCGUGAUUAAAGCCACACACCAAUUAGAGUUAAACCUAUGUUGAGCAGUGAAAAGCACACGAUAGGGAAACCCAGAAACGAAAGUUACUCUAAUCUCUGCUUGAAUACACGACAGCUAGAAUACAAACUGGGAUUAGAUACCCCACUAUGUCUAGCCGUAAACUAUUAACCCACACUAACCCCGCGCCAGGGAACUACGAGCCUUAGCUUAAAACCCAAAGGACUUGACGGUGUCCCACCCAACUAGAGGAGCCUGUUCUAUAAUCGAUAACCCCCGCUUCACCCAACCCCCCCUUGCUUUAUCAGCCUGUAUACCUCCGUCGUAAACCCGCCGUAUGAAUGUACUUAAGCGGAUUCAAUGGUUCCCCACCAACACGUCAGGUCAAGGUGCAGCCAAUGGGGGUGGUAAGUAAUGGGCUACAAUCUCUAACCUAGAACAAACGAAGUACUGCAUGAAACACAGUCAUGAAGGAGGAUUUAGUAGUAAAAAGAAAGUAGCGUGUUCUUUUUAACACGGCCCUGGGACGUGUACACACCGCCCGUCGCCCUCUUCGACAACACUAUUCUGUUACCUAACCCAACUAAUAACUAGAGAAGAGGUAAGUCGUAACAUGGUAAGUGUACCGGAAGGUGCACUUGGCUCAACAAAGUGUGGCUUAGCUAAAGCACCUUGCUUACACCAAGGAGACAUCUGUGGAACCCGGAUCACUUUGAACCCCAAAUCAAGCCUAAUAACUACUAUGAGUAAGAUUACAACAUUUCUACGACCUAAUAAAACAUUUUUCCACUUUAGUAGAGGUGAUCAAAAAACUUCUUAGCGCUUUAUAUCAAGUACCGCAAGGGAAUGAUGAAAUAGCUAUGAAAUAGCCCAAAAGUACUAAACAGCAGAGACUCCACUCGUACCUUUUGCAUCAUGGUUUAGCCAGUCCAAAUCAAGCAAAGCGAAACAUUAGUUUGACCUCCCGAAACUAGGCGAGCUACUUCGAAACAGCUUAAAAGAGCCAACCCGUCUCUGUUGCAAAAGAGUGGGAUGAUUUCCAAGUAGAAGUGAAAAGCCUACCGAGCCUAGAGAUAGCUGGUUAUUCAGGAAAAGAGUUUUAGCUCACCCUUAAGCUUACCUAUAACACAAACAACACAACAGGCUUAAGAGUUAUUCAAUUAAGGCACAGCUUAUUUGAAAAAGAGUACAGUCUACAACCAAGGGUAAGUACCAAGAUUCGUGUUAAGUGGGCCUGAAAGCAGCCACCUUCAAAAAAGCGUUAAAGCUUUUCACAUCUCUGAUAUUUAAUACCAACACCUUUCUCGAACCCUUCACUAAUACUGAAUGACCCUAUAAAUUAUAGGAGACACAAUGCUAAAACUAGUAACAAGAAAUAGACUUUCUCCGAAAUGCAAGUGUAAGCCAAAACGGACCCACCAUUGGCCUUUACCGUGUUUGACCCAAGUACAGCAACUCCUCCCAGAAAACCCUGUAUGCCCAAACGUUACCCUAACACAAGAACAUUCCCGGAAAGAUUAAAAGAGAAAGAAGGAACUCGGCAAACCUAAGCCCCGCCUGUUUACCAAAAACAUCGCCUCUUGAUUAAAUAUAAGAGGUCCAGCCUGCCCAGUGACAUAGUUAAACGGCCGCGGUACCCUGACCGUGCGAAGGUAGCAUAAUCACUUGUUCCUUAAAUAGGGACUUGUAUGAACGGCAUCACGAGGGCUUUACUGUCUCCUUUCUCCAAUCAGUGAAACUGAUCUCCCCGUGAAGAAGCGGGGAUGAUAAUAUAAGACGAGAAGACCCCAUGGAGCUUUAAACCCAACGACACCCCUCAACUCCCCAACCCAUUUUAGUUGCUACAGUCCUGUUCGUUGGUUUUAGGUUGGGGUGACCGCGGAGUAUAGAUUAACCUCCACGACGAAUGGGACUACCCCCUUACCCAAGAGCUACUCCUCUAAGGAUCAAAAAAUUGACGUAAAAUGAUCCAAGCAUUUGAUCAACGGACCAAGUUACCCUGGGGAUAACAGCGCAAUCCAUUUCAAGAGCCCCUAUCGACAAAUGGGUUUACGACCUCGAUGUUGGAUCAGGGUACCCAAGUGGUGCAGCCGCUACUAAUGGUUUGUUUGUUCAACAAUU